UAAAGCCAUACUUUAAGGUCAUACAGACAUA
RNAcentral lists this non-coding RNA (31 nucleotides) under Rattus norvegicus (Norway rat). Lineage: Eukaryota; Metazoa; Chordata; Mammalia; Rodentia; Muridae. The record is from RNAcentral.